AAUCUGGCUCAGGAUGAACGCUAGCGACAGGCUUAACACAUGCAAGUCGAGGGGCAGCACAGGUAGCAAUACCGGGUGGCGACCGGCGCACGGGUGAGUAACGCGUAUGCAACUUACCUAUCAGAGGGGGAUAACCCGGCGAAAGUCGGACUAAUACCGCAUGAAGCAGGGGUCCCGCAUGGGGAUAUUUGCUAAAGAUUCAUCGCUGAUAGAUAGGCAUGCGUUCCAUUAGGCAGG
This 237-nucleotide ribosomal RNA is filed under the name uncultured bacterium. Its description in RNAcentral is "partial 16S ribosomal RNA". It matches the Rfam family "Bacterial small subunit ribosomal RNA", at positions 16 to 249 of the family's 1533-position model. The record is from RNAcentral.